RNAcentral lists this transfer-messenger RNA (398 nucleotides) under human gut metagenome. It matches the Rfam family "transfer-messenger RNA". Rfam says of the family: Bacterial tmRNA, also known as 10Sa RNA or SsrA, is named for its dual tRNA and mRNA-like properties. The record is from RNAcentral.
GGGGAUGUUCUGGUUUUGACAGCAUCGAUGUCGGAUGGUAAGCACGCCGGGCGUCGCGAGUUUGCCCGUUAACCUCAGCUCCCGAGCCAUUAAUUGGCAACUACAACUAUUCAUACGCUUGCUAGUCUCAGAGAGACUGAGCAUCAAUCAGAGCCGCCAAGGCUGUGGCACUGACGUAUAUCCCUCCUGCUUUAUGCCGGCUAUGCCAGGAUCCAGGGGUAUCAUCCAAGCCGGACGCACGGGGCCCACUCCCCUAAGCCCCGCCAAGACAAAGGAGAUAAGUUGCCGCAAAGGGCGUCUUUCCUCAUACGGCCGCCGACAAACAAAGAAAGAAUAAGCGUGUAGAAAGCCCUCUGGUGCGUUGUUUGGACGCGGGUUCGACUCCCGCCAUCUCCACA